GACGAACGCUGGCGGCGUGCUUAACACAUGCAAGUCGAACGGAAAGGCCCUGCUUUUGUGGGGUGCUCGAGUGGCGAACGGGUGAGUAACACGUGAGUAACCUGCCCUUGACUUUGGGAUAACUUCAGGAAACUGGGGCUAAUACCGGAUAGGAGCUCCUGCUGCAUGGUGGGGGUUGGAAAGUUUCGGCGGUUGGGGAUGGACUCGCGGCUUAUCAGCUUGUUGGUGGGGUAGUGGCUUACCAAGGCUUUGACGGGUAGCCGGCCUGAGAGGGUGACCGGCCAAAUUGGGACUGAGAUACGGCCCAGACUCCAACGGGAGGCAGCAGUGGGGAAUAUUGCACAAUGGGCGGAAGCCUGAUGCAGCAACGCCGCGUGCGGGAUGACGGCCUUCGGGUUGUAAACCGCUUUCGCCUGUGACGAAGCGUGAGUGACGGUAAUGGGUAAUGAAGCACCGGCUAACUACGUG
RNAcentral lists this ribosomal RNA (468 nucleotides) under uncultured bacterium. RNAcentral describes it as "partial 16S ribosomal RNA". It matches the Rfam family "Bacterial small subunit ribosomal RNA", at positions 28 to 507 of the family's 1533-position model. The record is from RNAcentral.